Molecule: ribosomal RNA, 253 nt
Filed under: uncultured bacterium
Lineage: Bacteria
Description: partial 16S ribosomal RNA
Rfam family: Bacterial small subunit ribosomal RNA
Source: RNAcentral
UACAGAGGGGGCAAGCGUUAUUCGGAAUUAUUGGGCGUAAAGGGCGCGUAGGCGGCUUGGCAAGUGGAAGGUGAAAUCCCUCGGCUUAACCGAGGAACUGCCCUCCAAACUGCUUGGCUUGAGACCGGGAGAGGUGAGUGGAAUUCCCAGUGCAGCGGUGAAAUGCGUAGAUAUUGGGAGGAACACCAGUGGCGAAGGCGGCUCACUGGACCGGUACUGACGCUGAUGCGCGAAAGCGUGGGGGGCAAACAGG